GACGAACGCUGGCGGCGUGCUUAACACAUGCAAGUCGAACGAAGUGGCGAACGGGUGAGUAAUACGUGGGUAACCUGCCCUCCUUUUUUGGAUACGCCUUGGAAACGGGGUCUACUCCCGAAUAAAGGGGGAUGGGCUCGCGGCCUGUCAGCUUGUUGGUGGGGUGCUGGCAUACCAAGGCGGUGACGGGUAGCCGGCCUGAGAGGGGGAACGGUCACAGGGGUACGGUGCAACGGCCUAGACGAGGAAGGGGGGGAGAAGAUGGGGAUAUUGGACAAUGGGCGAAAGACUGAUGCAGUGACGCUGCGUGGGGGAUGAAGGUUUUCGGGUUGUAAAAGUCUUGAGCAAUGGAACGGGUAGGUGGAGAAGAAGCGCCGGCUAACUACGUGCCAGCAGCCGCGGUAAUAC
RNAcentral lists this ribosomal RNA (408 nucleotides) under uncultured bacterium. RNAcentral describes it as "partial 16S ribosomal RNA". It matches the Rfam family "Bacterial small subunit ribosomal RNA", at positions 28 to 526 of the family's 1533-position model. The record is from RNAcentral.